This 507-nucleotide long non-coding RNA is filed under the name Linum usitatissimum (flax). Its description in RNAcentral is "long non-coding RNA (LUSI_LNC007432)". Lineage: Eukaryota; Viridiplantae; Streptophyta; Magnoliopsida; Malpighiales; Linaceae. The record is from RNAcentral.
GCUGUUGCAACUUGCAAUAGCAGUAAAGCUAACGUAUGAGAGCAGUGAGUGUACUGGAAAAAAGCUUUCUCCGGAUAGGAGCAAGCUACGGCAGCCAUGGCAAUCCUCGCUCUGCCUCUGGUCAUCUCUGUCCUGAAACCUCAGGCGUCCCGCUUUCUCUUCCUUUGCUCCGUCGGUGACCUCAACCCCAACCGCCUCCGAUUAUCCCGCCGCCACUUCAGAAGAACGGCUGUGUCCUCGCCUUGCACACCCUGCCUUCGCUGAGCACCUCUGCCUUUCAGCAGCUGCAGUCGUCCACGGAGCCGAAGACUGAGCCUCGUAAGUCCUCCAGCCUCACCUUUCAACAAGCAAUUCAGCGACUCCAGGCGAGUGUUUUUUUCCCUCUCCAUUUGUUUCAUCGUUGCUCAUAAAUCGUCUUAGCUUCUAUAAUUUUGUUUUUUUUUUUAAAAAGGGCUGUUAUUGGGUGUUCUGCUUCUGCAGGACUACUGGGCUUCUGUUGGUUGUGCG